Molecule: long non-coding RNA, 204 nt
Filed under: Elaeis guineensis (African oil palm)
Lineage: Eukaryota; Viridiplantae; Streptophyta; Magnoliopsida; Arecales; Arecaceae
Description: long non-coding RNA (EGUI_LNC028968)
Source: RNAcentral
GACAUAUCUGUAAUUUUUCCUCCCAUACACAUAUUUUUAAUUUUUAAUAUGAUAAAAAAUAUUUAAAUAAGAUAUUAAAUGUUAAAUGAAGGACUUGUCUUUGCGGUUCCUAGCUACAUGCCCCAACUUACCUCCCUGGUUUUCUAUUUUUAGUUUUUGGUACAUACCCUAUCUCGGUUUGACAGUUUGAUGGGAUGGGAGAAA